GCCAGUGUGUCCCGGGGCUCUAGAUUGCGGGUGGAGAGCUGUGCUGGGCUUGGACCGGAGGGAAGAGGAUGCCCGGCUGGGGGAGGGGAAGGAGGAGGAUCGUGAGUUGGAGGGGUUCCUGAGGACCCUGGUCGGGAGGAGGAAAAGAGUAGGGUUUUGUCCUAGGUGCACACAACCAAACGAGGUGAUCCUCAUGAGCUGAGAAACAUAUUCCUACAGUAUGCCAGCACCGAGGUGGACGGAGAGCAUUACAUGACUCCGGAAGACUUCGUUCAACGCUACCUUGGCCUGUACAAUGAUCCGAACAGCAACCCAAAGAUCGUGCAGCUCUUGGCAGGAGUAGCUGAUCAAACCAAGGAU
RNAcentral lists this long non-coding RNA (360 nucleotides) under Rattus norvegicus (Norway rat). RNAcentral's name for it is "long non-coding RNA NONRATT019368". Lineage: Eukaryota; Metazoa; Chordata; Mammalia; Rodentia; Muridae. The record is from RNAcentral.